GACACCAGGAGUGUUUUCGGGAGGUUGGCUGGCAUAUAAUUCACUAGCAUACUUGGUAUUGAAGCGAAGGAAGUCAAUGAUCUCCAUUCCAGCGUCAAUUUCAGCUUGCCAGAUGUUCUUACCCUGGCCAAUCAUUGUAGCAGCCAUGAGCUUGUAACGGUACUUGGUGCUUAUCAAAUGAGCAGCCUUCAAGAAAAUGGCAGAACGGUCAGCAAAAGGUAAGGAUUCCCAGACCUUCUUUCCACGAAGUGCUGCCUCAAUGGCAUCUUCAACGUGCUUGGCACCAGCACGGUGAUAGCGAGCAACGACCUUUUUGUGCUCAAAAGGACAACGCUGCUCACCAAUGGUAUUCGUUUCAACUUCCUUACCAUCAAUGAUGACAGGGAUAGUGACAGGUAAUUCAGCCUCUAACUCCUUGUAGGCCUUGACGAUUCCCUCUCUGUCAGCACUAUUGGGACCAUAGUGUUUAGGAGGCUCGUUCUUAAUGGCAGGUAAUUUGAACUCAGCAAAUUGUGACAUUUUAC
This is a non-coding RNA of Schizosaccharomyces pombe (fission yeast), 524 nucleotides long. The record is from the annotation of a GenBank genome assembly. NCBI's taxonomy places the organism in Eukaryota, Fungi, Ascomycota, Schizosaccharomycetes, Schizosaccharomycetales, Schizosaccharomycetaceae.